Molecule: ribosomal RNA, 471 nt
Filed under: uncultured bacterium
Lineage: Bacteria
Description: partial 16S ribosomal RNA
Rfam family: Bacterial small subunit ribosomal RNA
Source: RNAcentral
GACGAACGCUGGCGGCGUGCUUAACACAUGCAAGUCGAACGGAAAGGCCCUGCUUGCAGGGUGCUCGAGUGGCGAACGGGUGAGUAACACGUGGGUGAUCUGCCCCUUACUUUGGGAUAAGCCUGGGAAACUGGGUCUAAUACUGGAUAGGACCAUGCUGUAGGUGGUGUGGUGGAAAGAUUUUUUCGGUAAGGGAUGAGCUUGCGGCCUAUCAGCUUGUUGGUGGGGUAAUGGCCUACCAAGGCGUCGACGGGUAGCCGGCCUGAGAGGGUGGACGGCCACAUUGGGACUGAGAUACGGCCCAGACUCCUACGGGAGGCAGCAGUGGGGAAUAUUGCACAAUGGGCGCAAGCCUGAUGCAGCGACGCCGCGUGGGGGAUGACGGCCUUCGGGUUGUAAACUCCUUUCAGCCAUGACGAAGCCUCUUUUGGGGUGACGGUAGUGGUAGAAGAAGCACCGGCUAACUACGUG